RNAcentral lists this long non-coding RNA (609 nucleotides) under Panax ginseng (ginseng). RNAcentral's name for it is "long non-coding RNA (PGIN_LNC004230)". Lineage: Eukaryota; Viridiplantae; Streptophyta; Magnoliopsida; Apiales; Araliaceae. The record is from RNAcentral.
UCAUAUUUUUCAAAUUACAAAAAAAUCUCAAACAUUGUCAACAAUACCCAACUACAAAACCUUAAAUUUUUGUGAAAACCAAUCACAAAUUAUAUCCAAACUUCCAAUUUCUCAAAUUAAAAAGUUGAAGUUUAUUGCUAUACAAAUUAUUAGGUACUAUUUUGAAGCAACGACUCCCUCCCAGGGGUGCAAAUCCACAAUAGCACAAUAGGCAUAUACAAAUUAUUAGGCGGAGGGGAGGGCUUAGAUCAUCCGGGGGAUGAAGAUGAGAAAGAGUUGACUCCCGCGGCCUCUCGGUAGAAGGAGAGAGCCCAGUUUAUUGCUUGAGAAUUUCCUUCCAGUGGCUGGUUCAAAUUCCAUACGGAUGGUGCUCCCAAGAGAAACCAAGACUUGCAUGGUGCUGCCACGGGACAUUCUGGUAAGUUGGGGUGCUGGUGGCCUUCUCAACCCUCCUCCAAGAAGAAUUGUGCUAUACCCUCCGAGAGUCAACCAGUUUAGUUCUAAUCUGAGUAGGCUCGUAGGGAAAGCCUUAUUCUUCACCAGGAGCUGGUCUAGUACUUCGGGGCAGGGGCGCUCACGUUUUUUUGGCUCCUUCCCCGCCGGAUACGA